AUGGGACUCGGCAAGACCAUGCAGGUUUCUGCCUUCUUGGCAGGGUUGUUCCAUUCCGGUUUGAUCAGGAGGGCGCUAGUUGUCGCCCCUAAGACACUUCUCACUCAAUGGAUCAAGGAGCUUUCGGUUGUCGGCCUCAGCCACAUGAUCUACGAGUACUAUGGUUCCAACAUGAAUAUUCGUGAUAAUGAGCUUCAACAUGCCUUCAAGGAGGGAGGUAUCGUAUUGACAACAUAUGAUAUUGUCCGGAUCAAUUACCAUCUAAUAAGAGGUGACUUCUAUAAUGAUGCCGGCGACGAGGAGGAGGAGGACUUUUGGAAUUAUGUUGUUCUUGAUGAGGCACAUUAUAUCAAGAACCCCAAUACACAAAGAGCCCAAAGCUUAUUUGAAAUAUCUUGUGUCCAUCGGAUUGCCAUUAGUGGAACACCUAUUCAAAAUAACUUGAUGGUUCAGAACAAGGAAUUAAGAGAACGGAUAAAGCCAUAUUUCUUGCGACGCAUGAAAAGUAAAGUGUCCCUUGAGACUGGGUUGACAGGUGAUAAAAAGCUUCCAAAGAAGGAUGAGCUAAUUAUCUGGCUGAAAUUAACAGAUUGCCAGAGACGUCUAUAUAAAGCUUUUCUUAACAGUGAGCUAGUUCAAUUUGAAUCGGAAGGAAAUCCCUUGGCUGCUCUUAAUGUAUUGAAAAAAAUAUGUGAUCACCCACUGAUAUUAACUCAGAGAGCUGCUGAGGACAUCUUGGAAGGCAUGGAUGGAGAUUUUAGUACUCGGGAUAUAGUGAUGGUUGAAAAAAUGGCCAUGAACCUCACAGAUAUGGCUCAUGAUGAUGAUGCAGUACAAUUCAGUCAGGAAGUCUCAUGCAAGUUAUCUUUUAUCCUGUCUUUGUUGCCGAAUCUUCUUGAAGAGGGCCACCAUGUUCUGAUAUUUUCUCAGACUCGUAAAAUGCUAAACUUUAUUCAGGUCUGUUGUCAAUUCUUGGAGUGCAUGCCGUGUUUUUGUGAUAUACUAUAA
This 1008-nucleotide ribosomal RNA is filed under the name Triticum aestivum (bread wheat). RNAcentral's name for it is "partial small subunit ribosomal RNA". Lineage: Eukaryota; Viridiplantae; Streptophyta; Magnoliopsida; Poales; Poaceae. The record is from RNAcentral.